This 1484-nucleotide ribosomal RNA is filed under the name metagenome. RNAcentral describes it as "bacterial SSU rRNA". It matches the Rfam family "Bacterial small subunit ribosomal RNA". The record is from RNAcentral.
AGAGUUUGAUCAUGGCUCAGGACGAACGCUGGCGGCGUGCCUAACACAUGCAAGUCGAACGAAGCUCCCUGACGUAAGACUUCGGUCAAGCUGAUGGGAUGACUUAGUGGCGGACGGGUGAGUAACGCGUGAGGAACCUGCCUUUCAGUGGGGGACAACAGUUGGAAACAACUGCUAAUACCGCAUAAUGUACUUUGGGGGCAUCCCCGAGGUACCAAAGAUUUAUUGCUGAAAGAUGGCCUCGCGUCUGAUUAGAUAGUUGGUGAGGUAACGGCUCACCAAGUCGACGAUCAGUAGCCGGACUGAGAGGUUGAACGGCCACAUUGGGACUGAGAUACGGCCCAGACUCCUACGGGAGGCAGCAGUGGGGAAUAUUGGGCAAUGGGGGAAACCCUGACCCAGCAACGCCGCGUGAAGGAAGAAGGCUUUCGGGUUGUAAACUUCUUUUACCAGGGACGAAGGACGUGACGGUACCUGGAGAAAAAGCCACGGCUAACUACGUGCCAGCAGCCGCGGUAAUACGUAGGUGGCAAGCGUUGUCCGGAUUUACUGGGUGUAAAGGGCGCGUAGGCGGAGAUACAAGUCAGGAGUGAAAUCCAUGGGCUUAACCCAUGAACUGCUUUUGAAACUGUAUCCCUUGAGUAUCGGAGAGGCAGGCGGAAUUCCUAGUGUAGCGGUGAAAUGCGUAGAUAUUAGGAGGAACACCAGUGGCGAAGGCGGCCUGCUGGACGACAACUGACGCUGAGGCGCGAAAGCGUGGGGAGCGAACAGGAUUAGAUACCCUGGUAGUCCACGCUGUAAACGAUGAAUACUAGGUGUGGGGGGACUGACCCCUUCCGUGCCGCAGUUAACGCAUUAAGCAUCCCACCUGGGGAGUACGCCGGCAACGGUGAAACUCAAAGGAAUUGACGGGGGCCCGCACAAGCGGAGGAACAUGUGGUUUAAUUCGAUGAUACGCGAGGAACCUUACCCGGGCUUGAAUUGCAGAGGAAGGAUUUGGAGACAAUGACGCCCUUCGGGGCCUCUGUGAAGGUGCUGCAUGGUUGUCGUCAGCUCGUGCCGUGAGGUGUCGGCUUAAGUGCCAUAACGAGCGCAACCCCUCUCCAUAGUUGCCAUCAGGUGAAGCUGGGCACUCUGUGGACACUGCCACCGUAAGGUGCGAGGAAGGUGGGGAUGACGUCAAAUCAGCACGGCCCUUACGUCCGGGGCUACACACGUGUUACAAUGGCAGGUACAGAGAGCCGGUCGUAUGCAAAUACGAUCCAAUCCUUAAAGCCUGUCUCAGUUCGGACUGGGGUCUGCAACCCGACCCCACGAAGCUGGAUUCGCUAGUAAUCGCGCAUCAGCCAUGGCGCGGUGAAUACGUUCCCGGGCCUUGUACACACCGCCCGUCAAGCCAUGAAAGCCGGGGGCGCCUGAAGUCCGUGACCGCAAGGAGCGGCCUAGGGCGAAACUGGUAAUUGGGGCUAAGUCGUAACAAGGUA